AGAGUUUGAUCCUGGCUCAGGAUGAACGCUGGCGGCGCGCCUAACACAUGCAAGUCGAGCGGCACCCUGCUUCGGCAGGAAGCGAGCGGCGAACGGCUGAGUAACACGUGACCAACCUGCCCUGCGCACGGGGACAGCCGCGGGAAACCGCGGGUGAUACCCGGUGGCCCCGGGGGGACGCAUGUCCCCGCGGGCAUAGCUCCGGCGGCGCGGGAUGGGGUCGCGGCCCAUCAGGUAGUUGGUAGGGUGACGGCCUACCAAGCCGACUACGGGUAGCCGGGUUGAGAGACCGACCGGCCAGAUUGGGACUGAGACACGGCCCAGACUCCUACGGGAGGCAGCAGUGGGGAAUCUUGCGCAAUGGGGGGAACCCUGACGCAGCGACGCCGCGUGCGGGAUGGAGGCCUUCGGGUCGUGAACCGCUUUCAGCAGGGACGAGACUGACGGUACCUGCAGAAGAAGCCCCGGCUAACUACGUGCCAGCAGCCGCGGU
This 493-nucleotide ribosomal RNA is filed under the name Coriobacteriaceae bacterium BL37. RNAcentral describes it as "bacterial SSU rRNA". It matches the Rfam family "Bacterial small subunit ribosomal RNA", at positions 8 to 521 of the family's 1533-position model. Lineage: Bacteria; Bacillati; Actinomycetota; Coriobacteriia; Coriobacteriales; Coriobacteriaceae. The record is from RNAcentral.